CAAUGUCUUCGAGCCCUUGCUCCUGUGGCGCACGCUAUGGAGCCUGGGCCGCGCCGAAAGCUCGGUUCAGGGCGCAGCGGGAAACGGCUGCACCUUCCGUAUUUGAAAAGGAGACAUG
Molecule: non-coding RNA, 118 nt
Filed under: bovine gut metagenome
Description: Moco (molybdenum cofactor) riboswitch
Rfam family: Molybdenum/Tungsten riboswitch aptamer (Moco RNA motif)
Source: RNAcentral